GGCCGGGCUGGAUGGUCUCGCUGCAAGGUGAGCACUGUUUGGUCUGGCCUCUCCUUCUGGUAAACCACCGUGCUCUUAACUGGGUGCGAUGGGGAACCAGGACUUUUACUUUGAAAAAAUUAGAGUGUUCAAAGCAGGCUUACGCCUGAAUACAUUAGCAUGGAAUAAUAGAAUAGGACU
RNAcentral lists this ribosomal RNA (180 nucleotides) under uncultured Glomeromycotina. RNAcentral describes it as "partial small subunit ribosomal RNA". The stretch from base 90 to 180 matches the Rfam family "Eukaryotic small subunit ribosomal RNA", at positions 736 to 829 of the family's 1831-position model. Lineage: Eukaryota; Fungi; Glomeromycota. The record is from RNAcentral.